RNAcentral lists this long non-coding RNA (1067 nucleotides) under Oryctolagus cuniculus (rabbit). RNAcentral's name for it is "lncRNA (ENSOCUG00000032246.1)". The record is from RNAcentral. Lineage: Eukaryota; Metazoa; Chordata; Mammalia; Lagomorpha; Leporidae.
GAGCAGGAGGAGCAGCAGCGCGGCAGCAGCAGCAGCAGCGGCGGAGUGCCCCGGCAUCGCGUCCACCGCGCGGCCUCCCGGGCGCGGCGCGCGGGUCGCCCUCCACAGGGUCCGUCCGGCAGUCCGUCCGCCGGUCCUGCCUCCCGACGCCGCCUCAGCGGCACCCGCGCCGGCUGCUUCGGAGCACGCACUGCUGCGGCCGAACCUCAGCCCGGCUCCUGGUCCGCACCCGCCGCUCCGGCCGCAGAAACAACAUCCUUCCCGCCCGCCCGCCCGCCCGCCUGCGCCGCCGCCGCCGCCGCCUCUCAACAGCAGCAACGGCAGCAGCCCUGCGGAGCCGCGGGCCCGGGCAGCCGCGAUCCUGCCGCCAUGAUGGGCUGCGUCAUGUGACGUAGUGCGGGGGCGGGACGCCGUGAUAGGCAUCCCGGCCGGCCAACGGUCAGUCCGUAUUCCCCCCUGGAAGCCCCGCCCAUCAUCCUGAAGGCGGCAAGGUGGUCUCAGGUGCGACCCCUGCAGACAGAGGCGUGUGUAGACAGCAGGGCCAGCUGGUCUGAGCGUGGCCCGUGCAGCAGGAAGCUGAGCAGAGAGGCUGGGUGUGGCCCAACGCUGAUGACAUCAUCUGAGCCCUGGACAGACCCAGCCGUCCUGAGAUCCAAGCCCAGUGGGUGCUGGUGAGAGCAGUGUACAUGGCUCCGAGGUCUGCUAAGGAUGGCGCACAAAAGACCUACACAGCUGGACGAAGCCUGCUCCUGGAGCCAGCAGCAGAGAGGGAGCAGAGGAGGCCAGGAGGCUGGGGAGGAGGCGGGGGUGUCCCCCCAGAGGGCACGGUGGGAGGGGCAGGUGGGAGAGGCAGUGAGAGGCCCAGUCCCGUCCCAGGCAGUGGAAAUAGGAUGGCAGAGGUCUCGGCACAGAAAGGCACAUUAGCAGGGAGCUGGAUCGGAAGUAGAGCCACCGGGACUCAAACACAUGCCCACAUGGGAUGCCAGCAUCCUACGGCGUGGCUAAACCUGCUGUGCCAUGAAGUGGGCCCCAAUCAACCAACCUCAACAGCACUCACAGUGAGCUAG